AUGAGUAUUCGUGAUAUUUUUGAAGACGAAAAGUAUUGUUUCGCAACAACUAUUGGCACUACGAUGUGUUUCAAAGCUUCUAGGUUUGGAUGGUAUUAUGAAACUUGCCCUUCAGGCAAAUCUUCGAACAAGUCGGCCAGGAAGACAUUUCAGUGUGACUGUGGAGUUAAGGAUGUUGAACCUGUCACUAAAUUCAAAAUCAAAGUUGAAGUUGAAUAUGGUAGCCACAAGGGAACAUUUACAAAUCAUGGCUUAGGCUGGAGAAGACAACCCUAA
Non-coding RNA from Vicia faba (fava bean), 276 nucleotides. Lineage: Eukaryota; Viridiplantae; Streptophyta; Magnoliopsida; Fabales; Fabaceae. The record is from the annotation of a GenBank genome assembly.